UGCGUAGGUGGCGGGGUAAGUUUGAUGUGAAAGCUCAGGGCUUAACCCUGAAAUGGCAUUGAAUACUACUCUGCUGGAGGUUUGGAGGGGGGACUGGAAUUCUUGGUGUAGCAGUGAAAUGCGUAGAUAUCAAGAGGAACACCAGUGGCGAAGGCGAGUCCCUGGACAACACCUGACACUGAGGCACGAAAGCUAGGGAGCAAACA
This 206-nucleotide ribosomal RNA is filed under the name uncultured bacterium. RNAcentral describes it as "partial 16S ribosomal RNA". It matches the Rfam family "Bacterial small subunit ribosomal RNA", at positions 568 to 774 of the family's 1533-position model. The record is from RNAcentral.